This 623-nucleotide long non-coding RNA is filed under the name Vigna radiata. RNAcentral's name for it is "long non-coding RNA (VRAD_LNC013351)". The record is from RNAcentral. Lineage: Eukaryota; Viridiplantae; Streptophyta; Magnoliopsida; Fabales; Fabaceae.
GUGACGACCGUGUGGACAAGGACAACGUUCUUCUAAUCGUCGUUGGAGGUGGCGGUGGAGAAUGAUGUCCUACGGUUUUUUCAGGUGACUUGGGUUGUGAUCAUCUCCGACUUAUGGUCACAAGAGGAGAGAGACUAAUGGAAUGAGAGCAAUUCGGGGAAGCAGAAUAGGAAGAAGAGUAAGAUGAAUUGGUAGACUCACUACUACUACGACCAACUAAAUUUUCUUUGAUAGUGACAGUGAAAACUCACCGAGAACUCGAUCCGGUUCCGAUGGCCAUGGCUGGUUGAAGGUGGAAAAGAAAAGAGGGUCCCAGAAGAUGAAUCCAUGAACGAAGAAGAAAAAUGAUUCCAAUUUUGACCCUAAAAUUUUAUGCUUUUUCUUUUAAUUUUAAUUUAGUCAGAAAUAAAAUUAGAACUGUUAGUCAUGUCAGAAAAAAAUUAACGCCCUUGAUUAUAAAGGACUAAAAUUUACAGUUUCAUUAAGAAGAAAGAUGAAAAUGAAGCAAACUUUGGAAAAGGGACUAAACCCAAAAACGCUUGGUAGUUGAAGGACUAAAAACAUAUUUAACCCUUAAUUUUUUAAUGGGACAUAAAAAAUCCAAAAUUUGAAUAUGAAAAACU